GUUUUUUAAUGUGAAAAUAAAUGUUAAUGUAACAUAUGUUAAUAAAUAUGCAUAAUUAUAUAUAUAUAUAUAUGUAUAUAUGUAUAUAUAUCAAUUAAUAGAUGUUUGAUUGUAAAUAUAUUUGAAAUAGAAAAAUAGCUAUUGGAGAAGAAUUCUUAGUUUUAUACUGAACAUUAAAACAGCCCAAAUGAGACCUCUUAUUUCUGCUUCGCCAUGUUUUUCCAAAAUGCCUGUACCACUGUAUGACACACACGCAUCAUUACCUGCAAAACCUAUCUCCCACCACCAUUAUCCAUGCC
RNAcentral lists this long non-coding RNA (299 nucleotides) under Gallus gallus (chicken). Lineage: Eukaryota; Metazoa; Chordata; Aves; Galliformes; Phasianidae. The record is from RNAcentral.